GCCGAGGCGGAGACGCGGGGGCUCUUCCUGGUGGGCUCUCGUCGCCGUCCCACCGGGUGACGGCGGUGGGGGUGAGGG
Molecule: microRNA precursor, 78 nt
Filed under: Pteropus vampyrus (large flying fox)
Lineage: Eukaryota; Metazoa; Chordata; Mammalia; Chiroptera; Pteropodidae
Description: miRNA (ENSPVAG00000026099.1)
Source: RNAcentral